AUUGAACGCUGGCGGCAUGCCUUACACAUGCAAGUCGAACGGUAACAGGUCUUCGGAUGCUGACGAGUGGCGAACGGGUGAGUAAUACAUCGGAACGUGCCUAGUAGUGGGGGAUAACUACUCGAAAGAGUGGCUAAUACCGCAUGAGAUCUACGGAUGAAAGCAGGGGAUCGCAAGACCUUGUGCUACUAGAGCGGCCGAUGGCAGAUUAGGUAGUUGGUGGGAUAAAAGCUUACCAAGCCGACGAUCUGUAGCUGGUCUGAGAGGACGAUCAGCCACAGUGGGACUGAGACAGGGCCCAGACUCCUACGGGAGGAAGCAGUGGGGAAUUUUGGACAAUGGGCGAAAGCCUGAUUCAGCAAUGCCGCGUGCAGGAUGAAGGCCUUCGGGUUGUAAACUGCUUUUGUACGGAACGAAAAGCCCCGGGUUAAUACCCUGGGGUCAUGACGGUACCGUAAGAAUAAGCACCGGCUAACUACGUGCCAGCCGCCGCCGUAA
RNAcentral lists this ribosomal RNA (498 nucleotides) under uncultured bacterium. RNAcentral describes it as "partial 16S ribosomal RNA". It matches the Rfam family "Bacterial small subunit ribosomal RNA", at positions 30 to 523 of the family's 1533-position model. The record is from RNAcentral.